UACGUAGGUGGCAAGCGUUGUCCGGAUUUACUGGGCGUAAAGGGAGCGUAGGCGGACUUUUAAGUGAGAUGUGAAAUACCCGGGCUCAACUUGGGUGCUGCAUUUCAAACUGGAAGUCUAGAGUGCAGGAGAGGAGAAUGGAAUUCCUAGUGUAGCGGUGAAAUGCGUAGAGAUUAGGAAGAACACCAGUGGCGAAGGCGAUUCUCUGGACUGUAACUGACGCUGAGGCUCGAAAGCGUGGGGAGCAAACAGG
RNAcentral lists this ribosomal RNA (253 nucleotides) under uncultured Clostridium sp. RNAcentral describes it as "partial 16S ribosomal RNA". It matches the Rfam family "Bacterial small subunit ribosomal RNA", at positions 524 to 776 of the family's 1533-position model. RNAcentral also lists the same sequence under 1 other name. Lineage: Bacteria; Bacillati; Bacillota; Clostridia; Eubacteriales; Clostridiaceae. The record is from RNAcentral.